AUACACGAUUUCGUUACACAGAGGAGAAAUUCUGAUUCACCCAGUUUCUAAAGCAAAGCAGAGGUGUCUUUUAGCUUAUCCUAUUUCAUUUCAGAAGCUGUGACAAUGAGAACCAACGAGGUAUGGAAUUCCUAAAGAAAAGGGAUAGGAAGCUAAAGAUAGCACAGGAGGUGGGAUUCAAGGUAAUGAGUUAGGCCGGUUAGUGGACAAGGUAAGACAAAAGCAGAAGAUGACAGCCGUCCUCAGCAACAACACAUAGGUGGGGGGAAAAGGAGAAGAAAAAUCUCAAGGAGGGGUAAUUAAGCGACGUGUUCUCCUGGCCACCUGUCACCUAGCUAAGGGAAGCUGUUGCUCACCCAAGACGCCCGUGUACCAGAGGGGCGUAGCCAGGCAGCAUAAGUCUUCAGGAUGCUUGUCACCUGUAGUCUCUACCAUCCGCAACUUUGAUUACCUGUAUUCAAGAUAGAAUAAGAUAACACUGCCCUCUAACCUAAACCACUCUACUGAAGCUGGCAGAAAGAUGAGCUCCAUGACAGUAGCAAAAAAGACAAAUUUUUUACAUAGUCAAGUUAUUAUAACACAUUCUGAUCAGGAUGGCUUUAAAUUAUACAUGUACAUUUCUUGCCAAAAGGGUUAUUGAAUAAGGCCUAAAGUAAAAUUGAAAGCAAAAGCAUAGUGAGUUUUUUCAUUUUUAUCUUGUGUUCCUAACUGAAGAGAUUCAUUUAGUAGCUGUUUCUCAGGUAACUAAACUUUGCUGUCUCCCUUAGUUUUUUAUGUAUUUAAUUUGUCUUUAAACCUGGAUUCUGUGUGAAGUUCCAUAACAGCUUUGAAAUAUAGGCUUUAUUAGGGAUGUGAAAGCUGAGAAUGCAAUAAUAUUUUCUCCUUAUUAACUCAUCAUAUGAUACCAAGGGGGCAUGAGCGGGAGAAUGAGAACCUUAGAGUGCUCAGAUAUUCAAAUUGGGAAGAGACAAGGCCAACCAAUUGUGUCUUUUCAUGACCCUGCACAUAAUUGAGGUUCCACAUAGAGCUUGAUUCCUUUAUCCUUGAAAUCCUUUGGUUUGAGAGUUGAAUAGUAUCAUAUUUUAUUUUUUUUAAAUAGUCCUAUUUGUCUAAGGAUUUGGGUUGUGUUUCUGCUUUCCUUCUCACUGGUUGGUGAUUUUUUGGAGGCAGGAUUUUUUGGUUGUUUUUUUAAUCUCAUUUCAGAAGAUAUCCCUUGUAAGGGUUGAUACAUGAGUGCUACACAUCUCCACUUUUAACUAUGGCUGUCCACUUUUAAGGGGGAGCUAUGGGUGAUUCUUCAGCUAACUCAAAUUCCAGAAAAUCAGCCUAAGUCGUCAUCAGCAUCAAUUCAUUACUAUAUAUUGAGGAUGCGAACUUACAGUCUAGGGGAGGCUGUGUGGGACCCUGUGCUGCAACACAGGAUUAGCUCUUCAUAUUUUGCAAGAGGAACCGUCUGGGCUGUCUUCCUGUCCCCGGCCUGGAGCUCACACUGCAGUCAUGUGUCAGACCUCUGCAAGGGUAGCAGCUGAUGGAACCUUCCUGUUAAAAUCUGCUGAGUGCUGGCAACCCUAGUAUAGGAAAACCAAGGGAGAUCACACACCCUUCAAAGGUGACUGUUUCAAAGUGACUGCUAUGUUUCCAUGGACUCCUCAAGGAACAUUUACAGAGAGAGAAAAUAAAGGAACUGAAAGAAAUCCAGCAGCCUUCGGGUUACAGGACAGCCAGUUCCUGGAUACCGUUCGUAAGGCCGGGCUUUGCGGAUAAUUCACAUGAGGCAUUCCUCCGAUUCUGACCCGGAGCUCCUUUCAGAAGAGACUCCAGACACAUUGGCAGAAUCACAAAUUGACACAAAAAGGGAGGCUGCCCCGUCUGGAAGUAACUGAGGGACCAACAAAGUGAGCUCAUCAAUCCAGCCCAAGCUUCCGUUGACUACAGGACCAGAGCCGUGUCUCGGAAAGUGGAUGUCAGGGAGAGAGGUGCUGUCAGCAGUGACAUAAACUGGAAUUAACAAAGCUCACGUGUUUGAUUCAUUCUGCAUCAGGGUGAAACAGGGUGAAUUUAAAGGAGCGGAUCUGUGGCUCAUGAACCUUCCCCACCACUUCACCCCAUAUUUCUGCACUAAGUCACCUCCUCAGAGGCUUUUUCUCACCGCCUGUCAUCAGUCCAACCAAUGGUGGCUGGGGUCCUGAGAGAGACGGGACUGUCAGGAGACAGACCAGGAUAGGCCCUUUGGCAGUCACAAAGCUGGAGCACAGCCCGUAUUUGUUGAAUGAAUUAAUGGAAACAUUUAAACUAGACCUCCCUACAAACUGAGAAAAUGCUAAAAUAUCAACUCUAGUUGCAAACUGGAGCCCUCUCUUUAUCAUUUCAACUAUUAAAUGGCUUUUUAACGAGGCUUU
Molecule: long non-coding RNA, 2399 nt
Organism: Canis lupus familiaris (dog)
Lineage: Eukaryota; Metazoa; Chordata; Mammalia; Carnivora; Canidae
Exons: 7
Source: RefSeq, a predicted model, not a curated record